Molecule: ribosomal RNA, 492 nt
Filed under: uncultured bacterium
Lineage: Bacteria
Description: partial 16S ribosomal RNA
Rfam family: Bacterial small subunit ribosomal RNA
Source: RNAcentral
AGUGAACGCUGGCGGUAGGCCUAACACAUGCAAGUCGAACGGCAGCACAGUAAGAGCUUGCUCUUACGGGUGGCGAGUGGCGGACGGAUGAGGAAUACAUCGGAAUCUACUUUUUCGUGGGGGAUAACGUAGGGAAACUUACGCUAAUACCGCAUACGACCUACGGGUGAAAGCAGGGGAUCUUCGGACCUUGCGCGAUUGAAUGAGCCGAUGUCGGAUUAGCUAGUUGGCGGGGUAAAGGCCCACCAAGGCGACGAUCCGUAGCUGGUCUGAGAGGAUGAUCAGCCACACUGGAACUGAGACACGGUCCAGACUCCUACGGGAGGCAGCAGUGGGGAAGAUUGGACAAUGGGCGCAAGCCUGAUCCAGCCAUACCGCGUGGGUGAAGAAGGCCUUCGGGUUGUAAAGCCCUUUUGUUGGGAAAGAAAAGCAGCAGGUUAAUACCCCGCUGUUCUGACGGUACCCAAAGAAUAAGCACCGGCUAACUUCGUG